Long non-coding RNA from Rhincodon typus (whale shark), 1228 nucleotides. RefSeq lists it as uncharacterized. The transcript is spliced from 3 exons. NCBI's taxonomy places the organism in Eukaryota, Metazoa, Chordata, Chondrichthyes, Orectolobiformes, Rhincodontidae. The record is from RefSeq and is a predicted model, not a curated record.
GUCAACUUCCCAGCGCUCGAGCGCAGGAAACUGGAUGACCGGUACACAAUUGACGUCACGUGCCUUAGAUGGGGAGCUCGGAAGUUAAAGGGCCUACAAUAUAUAUUUAAACAUUGAAGAAGCAAAAGGUUGACACCUCAUCUUCAAGUAUGACGGGUGCUGCUCCUGAUAUGUCCUCCUACACUUUCCAAUGAACCAGAAACUGAUCCCCUGGCUUGAUGGUGGCUGCUCCUAGUUAAUCCUGGGUGUCAGUGAGCGAAGUCUGCUGCUCGAGAGGUAAGUGCGUGCUCCUGAUGGGGUCCCCUAAGAGCCAGACGCAGCCUUGAGCGUUCUGGGGUGUCUUGUGGCCAGUUCAGUCAGGCCUCCUCCAUGUUGGGUCACUGUGUUCCUUGUUCCAGUGCUGGUUGGAAUUCAGUUCCGUGUUUCCACGACAACAACAAGUCAGAAUACAGGAAAGAGAUUGAGAGCUUAAAGACAACAAUCUCUCCAUCAACAUCGGCAAAACAAAGGAACUGGUCAUUGACUUCAGGAAGCAGAGUGGAGGGCGCGCCCCUGUCUGCAUCAAUGGUCUGAGGUGGAGAUUGCUGAGAGUGUCAAGUUCCUGGGAGUGAUGACCACCAACAAUCUGUCCUGGUCCACCUAUGUCAGCGCAAUAGUCAAGAAAGGACAACAACGUCUCUACUUCCUUAGGAGGUUAAGGAAAUUUGGCAUGUCCACAAGGAUUGUUGCCAAUUUUUAUAAUUUCAUCACAGAAGGCAUUCUAUCUGGAUGCAUCACAUCAUGGUUUGGCAACUGCUCUUCCCGUGACUGCAAGAAACUACAGAGAGUUGUGAACUUAGCCCAGUCCAUCAUGCAAACCAGCCUUCCAUCUGUUUACUCCAUCUAUACUACCGCUGCCUUGUGAAAGCAACCACGGUAAUCAAAGAUCCCUCCUACCCUGUUAUACUCUCUUCCAUUCUCUUCUGUUGGGCAGAAGAUACAAAAGCUUGCAUAUGCGUACGAACAGAUUCAAGAACAGUUGUUAGGCUUCUGAAUGGACCUGUCAAAAUUUAAAUUUAAUGUUGCUCUCGCUGUCUGUGCACUUUCUGUGCAGCUGUAACAUUGUAUUCUUCACUCUGUUCCAUUUACCUAUGCACUUUGUGGUAUGAUCUGCCUGUGCUGCACGCAAAGCAAAACUUUUCACUGUACCUAGGUAUAUGUGACAAUAAUAAAUCAAAUUAAAUUUUCA